AGCGAACGCUGGCGGCAGGCUUAACACAUGCAAGUCGAGCGGGCCCUUCGGGUCAGCGGCGGACGGGUGAGUAACGCGUGGGAACGUGCCUUCUGGUCUGGAAUAACCCUGGGAAACUAGGGCUAAUACCGGAUACGCCCUUUUGGGGAAAGAUUUAUCGCCGAAAGAUUGGCCCGCGUCUGAUUAGCUAGUUGGUGAGGUAACGGCUCACCAAGGCGACGAUCAGUAGCUGGUCUGAGAGGAUGAUCAGCCACAUUGGGACUGAGACACGGCCCAAACUCCUACGGGAGGCAGCAGUGGGGAAUAUUGGACAAUGGGCGCAAGCCUGAUCCAGCCAUGCCGCGUGAGUGAUGAAGGCCCUAGGGUUGUAAAGCUCUUUUGUGCGGGAAGAUAAUGACGGUACCGCAAGAAUAAGCCCCGGCUAACUUCGUGCCAGCCGCCGCCGU
Molecule: ribosomal RNA, 446 nt
Filed under: uncultured bacterium
Lineage: Bacteria
Description: bacterial SSU rRNA
Rfam family: Bacterial small subunit ribosomal RNA
Source: RNAcentral